RNAcentral lists this ribosomal RNA (491 nucleotides) under uncultured bacterium. Its description in RNAcentral is "partial 16S ribosomal RNA". It matches the Rfam family "Bacterial small subunit ribosomal RNA", at positions 28 to 507 of the family's 1533-position model. The record is from RNAcentral.
GAUGAACGUUGGCUACAGGCUUAACACAUGCAAGUCGAGGGGAAACGCCGGGGAAGCUUGCUUCCCCGGGCGUCGACCGGCGCACGGGUGAGUAACGCGUAUCCAACCUGCCUCUGACUGAGGGAUAACCCGUCGAAAGUCGGCCUAAUACCUCAUGGCAUCGUCUGCGGGCAUCCAACGACGAUUAAAGAUUUCAUCGGUCAGGGAUGGGGAUGCGUCUGAUUAGCUUGUUGGCGGGGUAACGGCCCACCAAGGCUACGAUCAGUAGGGGUUCUGAGAGGAAGGUCCCCCACAUUGGAACUGAGACACGGUCCAAACUCCUACGGGAGGCAGCAGUGAGGAAUAUUGGUCAAUGGGCGGGAGCCUGAACCAGCCAAGUAGCGUGCAGGAUGACGGCCCUAUGGGUUGUAAACUGCUUUUAUGCGGGGAUAAAGUGGGGGACGUGUCCUUCAUUGCAGGUACCGCAUGAAUAAGGACCGGCUAAUUCCGUG